CCGUAGCCCAAGAGAUCGGGAUAACACCUGGAAACAGAUGCUAAUACCGGAUAACAACAGAUGAUGCCUAUCAACUGUUUAAAAGAUGGUUCUGCUAUCACUCUUGGAUGGACCUGCGGUGCAUUAGCUAGUUGGUAGGGUAACGGCCUACCAAGGCGAUGAUGCAUAGCCGAGUUGAGAGACUGAUGGCCACAUUGGGACUGAGACACGGCCCAAACUCCUACGGGAGGCAGCAGCC
This 238-nucleotide ribosomal RNA is filed under the name uncultured Lactobacillus sp. Its description in RNAcentral is "partial 16S ribosomal RNA". It matches the Rfam family "Bacterial small subunit ribosomal RNA", at positions 125 to 355 of the family's 1533-position model. The record is from RNAcentral. Lineage: Bacteria; Bacillati; Bacillota; Bacilli; Lactobacillales; Lactobacillaceae.